GUUUUAAUAGUUUAAGAAAAAACAAUGAUUUUGUAAAUCAUAAUUAGGUUAUCCUUUAAAACU
This 63-nucleotide transfer RNA is filed under the name Dybowskyia reticulata. RNAcentral describes it as "tRNA-Thr". Lineage: Eukaryota; Metazoa; Arthropoda; Insecta; Hemiptera; Pentatomidae. The record is from RNAcentral.